UUGUAUGCCUGUAGAAACCUUUCUUAAUGAGAAAAGAAACGAAAAUUGGUUACAUAAUAAUUAUAUUAAUUAAUAAAAUUGCAGGUUGUUGACUGCAUAUGAUUUCUUUCCAUCAGUCAAUGAGAAAGGUGUUCCCAUAAUUGAUCUUCAUUACUCACAAUGCUUUUAAUAGUGCCAAAAGAGGAAAUAAAAUUUUAAUGUUGGGAAUACAGGAUUAGACUAUACUUGGUGGUGUCUCCAACAGAUCAGCAUUAGGCUUUAAUUGGCAAAGAAUUUUGCAAGGCCUUAGUUAGAAAGUUUUUAAUUGUGGUACAUGCAUUACUGGUAGAAAUUCUUUCUCAAUUAGGUAUGGCUUCAUUACUGAUGUCAAAUUAUCCAAAGAGAUAAAUCUGCCCCUACUUUGGGUUAUCCUUUGUACCUCAUCCUACCAUAGUUGUAAAAGUGGCUGGAGGCCUAGGUGAUGGCCCUAUUGUUUUCCAAUGAUUCUACUUAGGAGCACAACUUUUGGUCAUAUGGAUGACCAAGUUGACUUGCCAAAACUUAGAAAUUAUGAUGGUCUAUAAGACAUGGAAUGUAAGAAAAUAACGUGGAAAUUAACUUAGUUUAACAAUUGUAGCAUUAUUAGGAGCCAUUAAAUAUUGUUUCAUUUUCUUACUUUUAGUGAUUCUGCUGGUUUUGAGGAUGGAUUUAAUCUUAGUGGGUCACUACAUUGAUUACAACAUGUUUAAAGGCUUUUGUGGGUUUUAAAAGCCUAUAGAUUAUGUUUAUAUGCAGAAUGGAGUGUCAUUUCCAGAGAAUAAAAGAUUAAAAAAUAAAAUAAAAUUGGAAAAGACCCUCUCUCUCUCUCUCUCUCUUUCUCUGAUGAGGAAAAUAGAACAUUAUUCUAAAGAAUGGAAGAAGUUUAUUUGGACUUGGAAUACCAUUUGGUGGUGAAUGGAACAAUUUGAAGGUAAUUUUAAGGUUGUAGAAGGCAUAUGUAAAGUAGCAAUAUGCUCUCUGAAACAACACAUUCACUGCUAACUGUGGAAAAGUUGAGAAGAAAAUCUUAUUAUUCUAAACAGCAUCUGGUUAUAUACAAAAUGGAUAAGCCCUAGGAGUGUUAUCUAAAACUAAGACUAUCAUAAACCAAAUCCCUGUAAAUCAGUAAACUAAAUCCCUAUAAAUCAGGGAUCAAAUUCCAAAAAAUUAGGAAUUACAUUAUCUCCCAUAUUUAAACCUAUUUACAUAAAAUACAAAGUCAAAACCCCAUAAGAAAUGUGUUUCUCCACACUCCCCCUCGAGCUGGUGAGUGAAUAUCAUGCAUUGCCUUCUUGUCAAUUAUUGCUUGAAACACAGUAUUGUUUAGACCCGUGGUAAACACAUUUGCUAGUUGAUUGGUUGAGGGUCUCGUACGGUGUGCAGAUGAGACCACUCCAAUUUUUCUUUGAUAAAGUGUUUGUCUACCUCCUCAUUUUUGAUCUGGUCAUGUUGCAUGGGAUUAUGUGCAAUAUUGAUUGUUGAUUUGUUGUUGCAGUAGAGUUUUAGAGGUGCUUCACAGUUAAUCUUCAGAUCUUCUAAAAUUAUUUUCAGCCAUUGUAAUUCACAAAUCCCAAGUGCCAUUGCUCUAAGUUUUGCCUUGACGCUUGACCUUGCUACUACAUUCUGCUUUUUACUCCUCCAUGUUACUAGGUUUCCACCAAGGAAUGUACAAUAACCCAAUAUUGAGCAUCUAUCAACCAUAAAUCUUGUAUAAUUAACAUCCGUAUAGGCUUCAAGUGUCAAACUUGUUCCUUUCUUGAAUAGAAUCUCUUUUUCUGGCAUUCCUUUGAGAUAGUGUAGUAUUCAGUGAACUGUUUGGAGAUGUUCUUCCUUAGGAUUGUGCCUAAAUUGACUCACCACACUAACAACAUUUGAAAUAGUAGGUUUUGUGUGUAACAAGUAGAUCAAUUGACCCACUAAUCUUUGAUAGUUUCCUGAUCCACACUAGCAUCGUUAUUAUUAUCACCAAGCUUGUGAUUAGUCUCAAUAGGCAUGUUUGCUGGUUUACAAGCUAACUUCCUAAUUUCCUUCAACAAAUCUAGUAUGUACUACUGUUGGGAUACAAAAAUUCCCUGUUGUGACCGUGCCACCUUAAUACCCAAGAAGUACUUCAAUAGGCCUAGUUCUUUAAUUUCAAACUCUUUCAUCAACCACUUCCUCAAAUUGUUUCUUUCCUUCUCAUAGUUUCCAGUCAUAAUUAUAUUGUCCACAUAAACUAACAAGGCCGUAAUUCCCCUUGAAGCUGAAUGUUUGAUAAAUAAAGUGUGAUCACCUUGACUUUGCGCAUCCAUUGGUAAUCAUCACCUUCGCAAAUCUCCCAAACCAAGUUUGAGGAGAUUGUUUCAAACCAUGCAAAACCUUGUUAAGCUUACACAUUCAUCUACCUUCUAGAUUCUUGCCAAAUCCAGAAGGAACUUCCAUAUAGAUUUUUUCUUCAAGAUCCUCUUGUAAGAAAGCAUUCUUGACAUGAAAUUGUUGCAAAUUCCACUCAAAGUUGGCAGCCAAGGAUAACAACAUCCGAACUGUAUUCAUCUUAGCUACGGGUGUGAAGGCCUUUAAAUAAUCUACUCCAUAAGUUUGGGUAUAUCCCUUGGCAGCAAGCCUUGCUUUAUACCUCUCAAUUGAUCCAUCCGACUUGUAUUUUACAGUAAAAACCCACUUACAACCUGCCGGAUUCUUUCCUUUUGGCAACUCUACUACUCCCAUGUUUUAUUUUUUUCUAGUGCUUCCAUCUCAACACUCAUGGCUUGUCUCCACUUUUUAUUAUUUAAUGGCUUAGGUAGGGUUUUAGGAAUAGUAACAGUGUUUAGUUGGGUAAGGAAGGCUCGAUAGGAAUGUGACAGUCUAUCAUAGGAUACAAACUGAGCUAAUGGGUAUAAAUGGUGUUUAGUACAAUCUUGUGUACCUUUCGUGCGAGCAAUGGGUAGAUCAAGAUCAUUAUUAUCAAUGGUAGCACAAGAAUUAUCAAAAGAAGAUUUUGGUAAAGCAUUGACCUCAUUUUCAGAGAUUGGUUUCAACUUUUGUAUUUGCAUAGGUUCAACAACAAAUUCUUUUCUCCUUGAGUAUACCUGUAGUGGUCCAAUAGGAUUGUGAGUUGCACUUUCCUUAGUCAAUAACAUGGGAUUAGAAGAGGAUGCUUCGAUAGUGGGCAAAACAAGAGGGUGAUUGGGACUGACUAUGGGCUUGGAUGAGGGAGAUUGUGAAAUGGAGGGCAAGUCAAGUAAGAAUGAAUCGUUGUCCUUAUCUUCCAUGAAUGAUGUCUCCUCCUGAAGAUAAGGACGGGUAGAAUAAUCCUCUCUUUCAACAAAGGUCACAUUGACAGAAACAAAAAGUUUCCUAGAAGGGGGAUGGUAACAUUUAUAACCCUUUUGUGUUGAAGAAUAUCCUAUAAAAAUGCAUUUAAGAGCACGUGGAUCUAACUUUCCCCUGUUAUGAUCAUGAAUGUGGACAAAUGAGACACAACCAAAGAUUCUAGGAGUGAGAUUAUUUUGAGGUAUUGACGUCGGGAAAAAACUAAGAAAACACUUGCAUAAGACUCUUGAACCCCAAAACUUGAGAAGGUAACCUAUUGAUCAAGUGGGCGGCUGUAAGCACUACCUCCCCCCAAUAGUGUUUAGGAACAUUUUUUUGAAAUUAGAAGGCACGAGUAACAACAAGAAGAUGGCUAUUUUUUCUUUUGGCAACCUUGUUUUGUUGGGGGUGUACUAAUGCAAGAUGACUCAUGAAUAAUCCCUUCUUUCGCAAAACAAGGGGACAAAACCUGAUUAAAGUAGUCUUGGGCAUUAUUAGACCUAAACUUCUUUAUGCUUACACCAAAUUGAGUUUUGAUCAUGUUAUGAAGGUUUGGAAAGGCUCUACUCACAUAAGAUUUCUGUUUAAGAAGAAAGAUCCAAGACACAUGAGUACAAUAAUCAAUAAACACAACAAACAAGCUAGCCCCUGAAAUAUUAGGAACCUUAGAUGGCCCCCAAACAUUACCAUGAAUAAGAGAAAAAGGAAUAGAGGUUCUUUUAUUGCUAAUUGGAAAAGAAGCACAAUGAUGCUUUGCAAGUUCACAUACUUUACAAUGAAAGCUCUCUACAUCCAAUUCUUUAGCAAUGAAGGAAAUAAAACUCUGAGUAUAUUAAAGGAAGGGUGUCCUAAAUGGAGAUGAUAAAGCCAAAUUUUGUCCUUAUUUGAGAUGGAGCUUUUAGUCAAGAAUGGCAAAGGAAAUUUGUUCUCAAUCCUAUUUUGAUCACUUGGUACAUCAAGAUAAUAAAGCCCCUUUUUUCCUUAGCAAAUCCAAUCGUCUUCCCUGAACUUUGGUCCUGAAAAACACAAUGAGAAGGGUAAAAGACUAUACGAUAAUUCAUAUAUUUGUUAAUCCGAUGUAUGGACACAAGAUUAGUUGAAAGUUUGGAACAUGAAAGACAUUCUCUAAUGUAAGAGACGAAUUUAUAUGAAUUUUUCCUUGAUCAGCUACUGUUGUCAAAAAGCCAUCUGCUAUGGAAAUUUUCUUGUUACUUGGGCAAGGUGUGUAGGAGCUGAAUUUCAAAGCAGAGUGGUCAUAUGGUCCAUGGCAUCUGAAUCAAUGACCCAGGAAUUUGAAAGAGGAGAGUUUGAGACAUUGAAUGCAUGAGAAACAAACCUCUUACCUGAAAGUGCUAAGGAGCAAGCACCAGAGGGUUUUUCUGAUGAUUCUAACAAUCUUUUCAGCCUCUCAAUAUCCUCCUUGAACUCUCCAUCUAUUGGGGUCUCAUUCUCAUCGUUUGGUGGAUUGCUAUUGGUGAAAUUUGCCUGUCCUUGAACUUUUUGCUGCUGUCCGCUGUUAGGUCUCCAUCCCCUAUUAUUAUUGUUGAAGUUUAGUGUUCUUCCAUGCAACUUCCAGCACAUAUCCUUGGUGUGCCCAGGUUUCUUGUAGUAAUUGCACCACCUGAAUGAAUCUGGUCGUUUGUUUGCAGCAUUCAGCUGAUUUUCUGCAACAACAUUCUUCAUAUUUCCGGCAUUUGACAACAUAGCUGAGCUUUCUACCAUAGGUGUUUCAUUCAUCAUUACACCUCUUCUUCCUUCCUCUGCCCAAAUUAUGGAAAUAGUUUCAUUUAUGAACUUGAACUUGAUCAAACUCCAGAUUUAGACCAGCAAGGAAUUCGAAAAUUCGUUCUUUCUCAACAAAGCUUUUCAAUAUGGCAGCAUCCUCACUAUCCUUCAUUUGAAUGCAUUGAUAAUGAUCCAUCUCUUACCACAAAUUUUUUAGGAGAUUGUCAUAUUCAGUCACAAAUUGCUCACCUUGUUUGGUGGCUGAAAUCUCUGUCGUUAUCUCAAUUAUCUCUGCUACAUCACAUAUCUUUGAGUAAGUCUGUCUCAGGUAGCAUCAAAUUCCUUUAGCCGUGGACAAAAACAUGAAAGUGCUACUAAUCUCAGGUAGCAUCAAAUUCCAAAGCCAUGACAUAAUCAUGGAGUCUUCCUCAUCCCAAAUCUGAAAGUUGGAAUCACUUUGCUCUGGUCCCGUACCCAACAAGUGAUUCAUUUUUCUUUUCCCCUUCAAGAACGUCUUCACAAUUUGUGACCACUGCAAAUAAUUCUUCCAAUUCAAUCAAUAUGUGGUGUGAAUGCUUUGAAGCUCCCCAUUGGACUGAUUUGGCAGCCCUUCAAUUGGUUGUACUGCAGGAAUGUUGGUGGCUUCAAAUGUCUUGGACAUGGUGGAUUUUUUCUUUUUCUUUUGAAUUGAAGGAGCAAAGAACUAGAAACUUUGAUUGAAUAAGGGGCAAAGAACCAGAAACUCGGAUAAAGAAGACUGCUAGGUCUUAAGAAGAAAACCAGGUUAACAAAGGACAAAGGAAUGUGAAUUCUGGGAGCCUAAGGCUUUGAUAUCAUAUGGAAAAGUUGAGAAGAAAAUCUUAUUAUUCUAAACACAAAACUCAUCUGGUUAUAUAAAAAAAAGAUAAGCCCUAGGAGUGUUAUAUAAAACUAAAACUACCCUAAACCAAAUCCCUAUAAAUCAGUAAACUAAUCCCUAUGAAUCAGGGAUUAAAUCACAAAAAAUCAGGAAUUACAUUGUUCCCAGAUUUAAACCUAUUUACAUAAAAUACAAAGUCAAAACCCCGUAAGAAACGUGUUUCUUUGUCUUCAUGGUCUUCAAGAGCUUGAGGCAAGGUGAUUCAAGAUUCUAUUGGUUCAUAGCGGUUCUAGGAGAGGAAAAUGUCAAUUUUGACUCUGCUGGCCAACCUCUUGAUCUAAUUUUUUCUGCAUGUUAGUGGUAAGUAUUUGAACCAUUGGGGUUAGUACUGGAGAGAAUGGCAUUUGAUGAUAUAGUGAGUGCAAUGGUGGAAGACUGGUUGGAGAACUAACUACAACAAACUUCUAAAGUAGGCAGCAUAAUGUGUUUAUAUUCAUUUGAGUUUCAAGUUUGAACAGUGAACUGGAUUGCAUUUCUGAUCUGGUCAUAUCUCAGUCUUGCUGCAAUAAGUGAUGGCUUUAGUUAAGAAAAGUUGUCCUGACCUAAGUAUAUGACCUUUGUCCUUUUUUUUUUUUAUCUCUUUUUCUGAUGAGCAAUGGUAUGAUUUUAUGUACAAGCACCAAAGAAACAACAAAAGAAGGUGCCAAGGAACCACCAAAACGGGAGAGCAAAAAACAAGUCUCUCCCUUAAUGAGGACCUAACCAAUCAAUGAAAUCAAUUAAAGACAUUGUGUCUUCACCUAUGGAUAACUUUAUAAACCAAUAAAAAUAAAACCUAUGUAUAACUUUAUAAAGAGAUUACUAAGGAAAGAACUCUUUAGAAAAUAGACAAACUACUCCUUAUUCUAUAAUGACCUAUGAUUUUGUUGGAAUCCAAUUAUUGUUUCAUGGAGUUUAUUUGAUUUAUUCAUGAUUUUGUGCAUAUUUAAAUUAGUUGACUAAAAAAGUAAGGAAGUUGUUUGAUCAAAGGCUAAAAAAUUUAUUCCGUAACAAUUUCUAUGUGUGGGUCAAAGUGUAUAUAGGAGGAGGGUAUACACAUUUGAUUGAUUUCAUAGAUUGGCUGGGUUGCGGUUGAGGGAGGGAGUAUUUUUUGUUCCCUAUUUUUUAUUUUUGCUUGGUGCUCCUUGUAUAUGAACUAUGUACUCUUGUGUGUUUUUUGGUGUUUUUAUUAACACAAUCUCUUACUUAUCCAAAAA
Molecule: long non-coding RNA, 7149 nt
Filed under: Vitis vinifera (wine grape)
Lineage: Eukaryota; Viridiplantae; Streptophyta; Magnoliopsida; Vitales; Vitaceae
Description: long non-coding RNA (VVIN_LNC004205)
Source: RNAcentral